AGUUACAUACUUUGUAUUCGUUUCACUUCUAUCUUUUUGAAUUCGAGAAACCGCUGUAGCCCAGAAAUAAUUUCCAAAAUAGAAUUAAUAGAUGAAUAAUUUAUAUGUAAGCUACAAGUGAUACAAUCCAAGCUUCAAAAAUUUCGUUAAUAGUUGAAGGUGAACGUAAAUUUUUUUGAAGUAUAAACAAGUGUGUUUUGUUAGUUAUUAGUUUCUCCUAGACGAAAUUUUUAAAGGAAGAAGUAAUUUUAUUAAUUAUUGUUGUCUUCGCUUAUAAUGUGGUACGAAAUAUUACCAACCCUCGGUAUAUUUUCGACAUUUUUACUUCUCCCCACAGUAACUCCUUUUUUUGUUAACAUGGCCAUUCGUGGACAGCCUCACAGGAGAUCAGCCAUGGAUCCAGAAGAUAGAAAACUGACAAUGAGGGAUGAAAGACUGUCUGGACAUAUUCAUAAAUUAUAUGGCCUUGAAAAUAUUCCUGAUCCAAAAUAGAAGCAUACCUGUGUAUAUAGCAAAGUAUUCAGUUUCAUUUGUAACGUUUGAAAUAUCUGUAAUGUAAUAGUUAUUAACCCAAAACUAAAUAAAUUUAUAUUGAAACAAA
Molecule: long non-coding RNA, 601 nt
Organism: Parasteatoda tepidariorum (common house spider)
Lineage: Eukaryota; Metazoa; Arthropoda; Arachnida; Araneae; Theridiidae
Source: RefSeq, a predicted model, not a curated record